CAAGUGAGUAGAAGCGGUCGGAAUAGAAAUAUUCUGGGCAUUGCUCCACCA
Molecule: non-coding RNA, 51 nt
Organism: Acetobacter pasteurianus IFO 3283-01
Lineage: Bacteria; Pseudomonadati; Pseudomonadota; Alphaproteobacteria; Acetobacterales; Acetobacteraceae
Source: Rfam